Molecule: ribosomal RNA, 520 nt
Filed under: uncultured bacterium
Lineage: Bacteria
Description: bacterial SSU rRNA
Rfam family: Bacterial small subunit ribosomal RNA
Source: RNAcentral
AAUAGAUACCCUGGUAGUCCACGCCGUAAACGAUGGAUACUAGCUGUUUGGUAGUAAUACUGAGUGGCUAAGCGAAAGUGAUAAGUAUCCCACCUGGGGAGUACGGGCGCAAGCCUGAAACUCAAAGGAAUUGACGGGGGCCCGCACAAGCGGUGGAGCAUGUGGUUUAAUUCGAUGAUACGCGAGGAACCUUACCAGGGCUUAAAUGUAGUUUGACGUUAUUGGAAACAGUAAUUUCUUCGGACAAAUUACAAGGUGCUGCAUGGUUGUCGUCAGCUCGUGCCGUGAGGUGUCAGGUUAAGUCCUAUAACGAGCGCAACCCCUGUUGUUAGUUGCCAGCGAGUAAUGUCGGGAACUCUAGCAAGACUGCCAGUGUAAACUGCGAGGAAGUGGGGAUGACGUCAAAUCAUCGCGGCCCUUACGUCCUGGGCCACACACGUGCUACAAUGGCCGGUACAGAGAGCAGCCACUAUGCGAAAUGGAGCGAAUCUAUAAAGCCGGUCACAGUUCGGAUCGGAGU